CCUACGGGUGGCAGCAGUGGGGGAUAUUGCACAAUGGGGGGAACCCUGAUGCAGCGACGCCGCGUGGGUGAAGGAGUGCUUCGGCAUGUAAAGCCCUAUCGGCAGGGAAGAAGCAAGACGGUACCUGACUAAGAAGCCCCGGCUAACUACGUGCCAGCAGCCGCGGUAAUACGUAGGGGGCGAGCGUUAUCCGGAUUCACUGGGUUUAAAGGGUGCGCAGGCGGAAUGUCAAGUCAGCGGUAAAAUUUCGGGGCUCAACCCCGUCGUGCCGUUGAAACUGGCGUUCUUGAGUGAGCGAGAAGUAUGCGGAAUGCGUGGUGUAGCGGUGAAAUGCAUAGAUAUCACGCAGAACUCCGAUUGCGAAGGCAGCAUACCGGCGCUCAACUGACGCUCAUGCACGAAAGCGUGGGUAUCGAACAGGAUUAGAUACCCCAGUAGUC
This 440-nucleotide ribosomal RNA is filed under the name uncultured bacterium. RNAcentral describes it as "partial 16S ribosomal RNA". It matches the Rfam family "Bacterial small subunit ribosomal RNA", at positions 338 to 795 of the family's 1533-position model. The record is from RNAcentral.